Molecule: long non-coding RNA, 2260 nt
Organism: Astyanax mexicanus (Mexican tetra)
Lineage: Eukaryota; Metazoa; Chordata; Actinopteri; Characiformes; Acestrorhamphidae
Exons: 3
Source: RefSeq, a predicted model, not a curated record
UCAGUUUCAUUGUCCAACCCCUGUAUAGUCCCUGAGCACUUUAUUCAAACUUUUAUAAUCAUUUAUUUAAUCAUCUAAUCACCCAAUCUUGUGGGACUACAGUGCAGUGUGUAAAAGCAUGCAGACCAGCAGCUUCAGUUAAGACUUAUUUUAAAUGACCAUUAAGACUGAUAUUUUCUGUAGUGAGUCAUAACAUGAUACGGAUGUAUCAUCAGAUAUUAAAGAAACACGUUGUUAAGGAACUGUGUGUUAUGUCACAUAAUCUGUGUGGGUUGUGGCCUCUAAACCUGCCAACCACCAUUCUGCCAGUCCAUUUUCACAACUUGGGUUGACAGGUAUAGACAAUAGAAUGCAAACAGUGUGCUGCAGCCAUGGAAUUGCACCAAUUAGUCAUCAAUUAGUACGCUACAGUCUAUUUGAGAUUGUUGCUGACCAUGCGCAUCCAUUCAUGGCCACAAUUUACUCAUCUUCUAAUGGUUACUUUGGACAACAAAACAUAAGAAACAUAAAACCUUUUUGACUAUUUUAUAAUCAUUUAUUUAAUCAUCUAAUCACCCAAUCUUGGGUGACACUGAGACUGAUCAGACUACUUAGUGUAUAUAAUUGCUUGCGUGUGUGUGUUGGCAGGGUACAUAAGAAGAAGCUAAAAAAGAGCUUCUUCGCUAUCUCAUGGUCCAAGUUCCUCGAUAGGACAGGAUGGACAGAUGGAGACUGUGAGGAGUGUGAGGAGAUUUUGGAAUGGGAUUGACAGGUUGUGCAGAUGCCAACAUUUCCUAGUGCCGUUCCGGAGCUUCUUUGGAGUCAUGCUUAUUAGAAAAGCAAUGAAAACAUGCACAUCCAGAGUCUUUUUUUGUGAUCAUUACCUUCUGCAAGUUGUGGAGUGAAGCAGAUGGUGUCCCUCAUAGGGUGAGUAAUUUAAGCUCAUGACUUAAUUUAGGGGGGCUCAUGAACAAAUGGAAAGGAGUAUUUAUGCGUGCAUGGUUUCUGUGUGAUGGGGUGGGUGGGUAAAACACCAUGAUGUAUAGCAGAGGAGGAAAGGGUUAAAUGGAAAAGUGAAGGAUGGACGAGAGUCAUAUGUGCCACUAAGCCCCUUUGUUCUUGUUUAGGGCCUUUACCUGGGAAAACCCUUUACUAAACAAAAACUUUCUCUCACGCGUUUAUACUUGAAUUUUUUUAAAUGAAUCUAAAAACCUCUAAUAGUAUCUUUUGUAGGUUGACAGUCAGUAUGUUCGGAUAUCAGCCUAGAGUCAUCUGCUUAACUCCCUAACAGUCUUAUUUAAGUAACAGUCCAGUUUAAUGGCAGAUUAUUUCUCCAACGUGGUAUGCAAGUUUAUUUCACAUGCUUCUUGAUUGUUUUAUUUGAACUUUAUUACGUGUGAUCAGAACUGAAUAUUUGGCUUGAUUUGGCCCUAUCUCGCCCUGUUUGGCUCCUAUCUAAUAGGAGAUUGAUUUUUGGGAGAGUUUAGUAGCCUGCAGAUGGUGAGAAUAUUAAAGGCUCUGAUGUAUACAGUGUGAUGGCUACACAUCUGACAGUGUCUCUGUCAAAGCCCUGUGGCCUGUGGGCCCUCUAAUCUCAACAUAUCACAAACACCCAGCCUGCAUGCAGUCUCAUAUAAAGACCCCAUAAUAGUUCUGUGGUCUAUAGUGACUGGGUGGGAUACAGUGUGUGUGCGUUGGGAGACUACAGUUACUACUUAUUUUAUUGUUUUCAGGGGGGUUAAUUCUGCAUGAAUACACCUGUAUGCUCUAAGAUGCCUCUAAAUUUGACUGUUAUUGUGUACCUGUAUGUCAUUUAUUGCAAAAAGUGAUGAGAGGCCUGGCCCAUGACAUUGUUCCAAAAUUAUAUCUAGCUUGUGAUUAUAUGAAAUCUUGACCUAUCCUGCACAUACAGUGCUGAGCAAAAUCUUUGACACCUAUGAAAAUUAAAAUAAAAUCUAAAAGUAAUUUACAUCAUUGUGUUUAUUAACACAUUCAGGCAUUCACAGAGAAUGCAAUAUGUCAGAUGUACCAGUAUGGCCAAAUCACAAACCAAUCAUCUAAACCAUAUUUGGGUUGUAAUUUUUUAAGGUGCAGGGUUAUAUGUCAUUUCAAGUACUUUUUCCGAGUGCGAUAAAAAGGCAUUUUUGUUUUUUAUUAAGUGUAAUUGUAGAUGGUAGGUUACUGGAAUGUUUUCCUCACAUGGGUGUCAUACAGGUUGAUUUAUGUGCUUAAAAUAUAAUCAAACAUGCAACAAAUUAAUAUAUAUAUAUAUAUAUAUAUA